UACGUAGGGUGCAAGCGUUGUCCGGAAUUAUUGGGCGUAAAGAGCUCGUAGGCGGUCUGUCGCGUCUGCUGUGAAAACCCGAGGCUCAACCUCCGGACCUGCAGUGGGUACGGGCAGACUAGAGUGCGGUAGGGGGAGAAUUGGAAUUCCUGGUGUAGCGGUGGAAUGCGCAGAUAUCAGGAGGAACACCGAUGGCGAAGGCAGAUCUCUGGGCCGUAACUGACGCUGAGGAGCGAAAAGCAUGGGGAGCGAACAGG
Molecule: ribosomal RNA, 257 nt
Filed under: uncultured bacterium
Lineage: Bacteria
Description: partial 16S ribosomal RNA
Rfam family: Bacterial small subunit ribosomal RNA
Source: RNAcentral